Molecule: ribosomal RNA, 465 nt
Filed under: Vreelandella stevensii
Lineage: Bacteria; Pseudomonadati; Pseudomonadota; Gammaproteobacteria; Oceanospirillales; Halomonadaceae
Description: partial 16S ribosomal RNA
Rfam family: Bacterial small subunit ribosomal RNA
Source: RNAcentral
UCUACGGGUGGCAGCAGUGGGGAAUAUUGGACAAUGGGCGAAAGCCUGAUCCAGCCAUGCCGCGUGUGUGAAGAAGGCCUUCGGGUUGUAAAGCACUUUCAGUGGGGAAGAAAGCCUUGGGGCUAAUACCCUCGAGGAAGGACAUCACCCACAGAAGAAGCACCGGCUAACUCCGUGCCAGCAGCCGCGGUAAUACGGAGGGUGCGAGCGUUAAUCGGAAUUACUGGGCGUAAAGCGCGCGUAGGCGGUCUGAUAAGCCGGUUGUGAAAGCCCCGGGCUCAACCUGGGAACGGCAUCCGGAACUGUCAGGCUAGAGUGCAGGAGAGGAAGGUAGAAUUCCCGGUGUAGCGGUGAAAUGCGUAGAGAUCGGGAGGAAUACCAGUGGCGAAGGCGGCCUUCUGGACUGACACUGACGCUGAGGUGCGAAAGCGUGGGUAGCAAACAGGAGUAGAUACCCUUGUAGUC